UUAAUGUGACCUCAAAUCAGGUAGGACUACCCGCUGAACUUAAGCAUAUCAAUAAGCGGAGGAAAAGAAACUAACAAGGAUUCCCCUAGUAACUGCGAGUGAAGCGGGAAAAGCUCAAAUUUAGAAUCUGGCGGUCUUAUGGCUGUCCGAGUUGUAAUCUAGAGAAGUGUUAUCCGCGCUGGACCGUGUACAAGUCUCCUGGAAUGGAGCAUCAUAGAGGGUGAGAAUCCC
RNAcentral lists this ribosomal RNA (231 nucleotides) under uncultured fungus. RNAcentral describes it as "partial 28S ribosomal RNA". It matches the Rfam family "Eukaryotic large subunit ribosomal RNA", at positions 1 to 222 of the family's 3401-position model. Lineage: Eukaryota; Fungi. The record is from RNAcentral.